UAUUAAUUCAUUUGUAAAAAAAUUUCAUGCAAGUUCAUGGUGUGGACAUGGUGUACGGUAGAUGAAAGCUUUACAAACCAGCUCGUACCUCAUGUACCAGAUGCACCGGCCAGUUAUUUAAAAACCCAUUAGGCUGCUAAUCAUUGUGGGGACACACUGUAGACCAGUUGAACAACUCAUUUAAGUCCAGCCAUAACAUUGUUAAACUACUACUCAUUUGAUACGGAGCCAAGGGAACUACGACC
RNAcentral lists this long non-coding RNA (245 nucleotides) under Elaeis guineensis (African oil palm). Its description in RNAcentral is "long non-coding RNA (EGUI_LNC011690)". Lineage: Eukaryota; Viridiplantae; Streptophyta; Magnoliopsida; Arecales; Arecaceae. The record is from RNAcentral.